GAGUUAUCUAAAAGGAGAGAAAGCUAGCACUCCCCUUGAGAAUGAUGGAAGAGGCCCUUGGGCCUAACAACACAUAUAUGGUUAAGGCAUUGCCACCUACUUGGUGACAUUUAAUCAGUGUUUUUC
Peromyscus maniculatus bairdii (prairie deer mouse) is the source of this 126-nucleotide small nuclear RNA. The record is from Ensembl. NCBI's taxonomy places the organism in Eukaryota, Metazoa, Chordata, Mammalia, Rodentia, Cricetidae.